AGAGUUUGAUCCUGGCUCAGAAUAAACGCUGGCGGCGUGCCUAACACAUGCAAGUCGAGCGAGAAAGCUCCUUCGGGAGUUAGUAAAGCGGCGAACGGGUGAGUAAGACGUGAGAAUUUACCCUUUAGUGAAGAAUACCCUCGAGAAAUCGAGGUUAAUACUGCAUAAGUCCCUACGGGGAGAAAGGUGGCCUCUUUGCUACCGCUGAAGGAUAAGCUUGCGUGCUAUCAGCUAGUUGGUGAGGUAAUAGCUCACCAAGGCUAUGACGGCUAACCGGCCUGAGAGGGUGUUCGGUCACACUGGAACUUAGACACGGUCCAGACUCCUACGGGAGGCAGCAGUGAGGAAUCUUGCGCAAUGGGCGAAAGCCUGACGCAGCGACGCCGCGUGGAGGAUGAAGGUCUUCGGAUUGUAAACUUCUGUUAAGUGGGAAGAAAGGUUUGUCUCUAAUAAAGGCAAAAUAUGACUUACCAUAGAGAAGC
RNAcentral lists this ribosomal RNA (482 nucleotides) under uncultured Archangiaceae bacterium. Its description in RNAcentral is "bacterial SSU rRNA". It matches the Rfam family "Bacterial small subunit ribosomal RNA", at positions 8 to 491 of the family's 1533-position model. The record is from RNAcentral. Lineage: Bacteria; Pseudomonadati; Myxococcota; Myxococcia; Myxococcales; Archangiaceae.